CCAAGGAUCGCAGACAGGCUCUGUAUUACCGCUUCUGUGGCCUGUUUCCUGGAGGACCACCUUGUGGCUGAUAGGCUUUUCAGCCUGAGAACGGUCCAGCUGCAUGUUUUCCUGUUCCUCCUCAAAUAUUUUAAUCCUUGGGAGGCUAGAAGUCAAAAAGCAGUGUACCCCAAAAAUCUUUUGCGCUAUUCAAGGAACAUGCAGCAUCCAUCAGAACGAAUUUGAUGUCGUGUGCACAGAAAUGCACGUCGAACUCAUCAUCAAGCGUUGAUUAUUUGAAACAGCUGUGUAGUACUAAGGAAAACAACGAAACCACUUGUGUUUCCCAGGACCGGAGGGAAAUGCUGCCAUCACGGAAAAAACAACGAAACCACUUGUGUUUCCCAGGACCGGAGGGAAAUGCUGCCAUCACGGAAAUGAGUGAUUUUUCUUUUUGAAGGAUAAUGCCCCCGUGCACAAAGCGAGGUCCAUACAGAAAUGGCUUGUCAAGAUCGGAGUGGAAUAACUUGACUGGUCUGCACAGAGCCGUGACCUCAACCCCAUCGAACACCUUUGGGAUGAAUUGGAACGUCGACUGGGAGCCAGGCCUAAUCGCCCCCAACAUCAGUGCCCUAGCACACAAAUACCCAUGGCUGAAUGGAAGCAAGUCCCUGCAGCAAUGUUCCAACAUCUAGUGGAAAGCCUUCCCAGAAGAGUGGAGGCUGUUAUAGCAGCAAAGGGGGGGGACCAACCUCAUAUUAAUGCCCAUGAUUUUGGAAUGAGAGGUUCUACGAGCAGGUGUCCACAUAUUUUUGGCCCUUUAGUGUAUCACUGUGCACCUAUAAUGGAACAUAUUGACUGUACUGUCAAACAAAGCUGCCAGGUCUGAUUACAGGGUGUUAAACUUCCUGUGGAAUGGUUGAGGCUCCCAGGUGCUGAUGGUAGAGGUCUGCUGCUUCCAAAGAUUCUGGCAGUAGCUCUUCAGAAAUGAUCUUCUUGCUCGCAACUUGGGCCAGCAGAUUUGGAAUUCCUUUGCCUUUUAAAUAAGUGGUAUGAAUGAGUAAUAUGUACCAAAACAUCAAAACAAUUACAAAUGAACCAAUAUAAGUUACAUCCCAGAUGAUACAGAUACUCUGACGUUCUAAGUGAAUGAACAAAGCUUUCAGUCAGGUUUUAAUCCAGAAAGUCUUUAAUGAUUCAAGUUUGGAGUUCAAUACAGACAUUGACCCUAAGUCUUUGCUGCUCAGGAUGUGUGAGAAAAAUAUUUGUAAUUUAUUUUUAGACCAAGGUUUAAAUUCCGGAGGAGUUUGAAAAGGAAACAUUUGUC
Molecule: long non-coding RNA, 1306 nt
Organism: Oncorhynchus tshawytscha (Chinook salmon)
Lineage: Eukaryota; Metazoa; Chordata; Actinopteri; Salmoniformes; Salmonidae
Source: Ensembl